RNAcentral lists this ribosomal RNA (2931 nucleotides) under Escherichia coli O145. Its description in RNAcentral is "23S ribosomal RNA". It matches the Rfam family "Bacterial large subunit ribosomal RNA". The record is from RNAcentral. Lineage: Bacteria; Pseudomonadati; Pseudomonadota; Gammaproteobacteria; Enterobacterales; Enterobacteriaceae.
GGGUUGUGAGGUUAAGCGACUAAGCGUACACGGUGGAUGCCCUGGCAGUCAGAGGCGAUGAAGGACGUGCUAAUCUGCGAUAAGCGUCGGUAAGGUGAUAUGAACCGUUAUAACCGGCGAUUUCCGAAUGGGGAAACCCAGUGUGUUUCGACACACUAUCAUUAACUGAAUCCAUAGGUUAAUGAGGCGAACCGGGGGAACUGAAACAUCUAAGUACCCCGAGGAAAAGAAAUCAACCGAGAUUCCCCCAGUAGCGGCGAGCGAACGGGGAGCAGCCCAGAGCCUGAAUCAGUGUGUGUGUUAGUGGAAGCGCCUGGAAAGGCGCGCGAUACAGGGUGACAGCCCCGUACACAAAAAUGCACAUACUGUGAGCUCGAUGAGUAGGGCGGGACACGUGGUAUCCUGUCUGAAUAUGGGGGGACCAUCCUCCAAGGCUAAAUACUCCUGACUGACCGAUAGUGAACCAGUACCGUGAGGGAAAGGCGAAAAGAACCCCGGCGAGGGGAGUGAAAAAGAACCUGAAACCGUGUACGUACAAGCAGUGGGAGCACGCUUCGGCGUGUGACUGCGUACCUUUUGUAUAAUGGGUCAGCGACUUAUAUUCUGUAGCAAGGUUAACCGAAUAGGGGAGCCGAAGGGAAACCGAGUCUUAACUGGGCGUUAAGUUGCAGGGUAUAGACCCGAAACCCGGUGAUCUAGCCAUGGGCAGGUUGAAGGUUGGGUAACACUAACUGGAGGACCGAACCGACUAAUGUUGAAAAAUUAGCGGAUGACUUGUGGCUGGGGGUGAAAGGCCAAUCAAACCGGGAGAUAGCUGGUUCUCCCCGAAAGCUAUUUAGGUAGCGCCUCGUGAACUCAUCUUCGGGGGUAGAGCACUGUUUCGGCAAGGGGGUCAUCCCGACUUACCAACCCGAUGCAAACUGCGAAUACCGGAGAAUGUUAUCACGGGAGACACACGGCGGGUGCUAACGUCCGUCGUGAAGAGGGAAACAACCCAGACCGCCAGCUAAGGUCCCAAAGUCAUGGUUAAGUGGGAAACGAUGUGGGAAGGCCCAGACAGCCAGGAUGUUGGCUUAGAAGCAGCCAUCAUUUAAAGAAAGCGUAAUAGCUCACUGGUCGAGUCGGCCUGCGCGGAAGAUGUAACGGGGCUAAACCAUGCACCGAAGCUGCGGCAGCGACACUAUGUGUUGUUGGGUAGGGGAGCGUUCUGUAAGCCUGUGAAGGUGUGCUGUGAGGCAUGCUGGAGGUAUCAGAAGUGCGAAUGCUGACAUAAGUAACGAUAAAGCGGGUGAAAAGCCCGCUCGCCGGAAGACCAAGGGUUCCUGUCCAACGUUAAUCGGGGCAGGGUGAGUCGACCCCUAAGGCGAGGCCGAAAGGCGUAGUCGAUGGGAAACAGGUUAAUAUUCCUGUACUUGGUGUUACUGCGAAGGGGGACGGAGAAGGCUAUGUUGGCCGGGCGACGGUUGUCCCGGUUUAAGCGUGUAGGCUGGUUUUCCAGGCAAAUCCGGAAAAUCAAGGCUGAGGCGUGAUGACGAGGCACUACGGUGCUGAAGCAACAAAUGCCCUGCUUCCAGGAAAAGCCUCUAAGCAUCAGGUAACAUUAAAUCGUACCCCAAACCGACACAGGUGGUCAGGUAGAGAAUACCAAGGCGCUUGAGAGAACUCGGGUGAAGGAACUAGGCAAAAUGGUGCCGUAACUUCGGGAGAAGGCACGCUGAUAUGUAGGUGAAGUCCCUCGCGGAUGGAGCUGAAAUCAGUCGAAGAUACCAGCUGGCUGCAACUGUUUAUUAAAAACACAGCACUGUGCAAACACGAAAGUGGACGUAUACGGUGUGACGCCUGCCCGGUGCCGGAAGGUUAAUUGAUGGGGUUAGCGGUAACGCGAAGCUCUUGAUCGAAGCCCCGGUAAACGGCGGCCGUAACUAUAACGGUCCUAAGGUAGCGAAAUUCCUUGUCGGGUAAGUUCCGACCUGCACGAAUGGCGUAAUGAUGGCCAGGCUGUCUCCACCCGAGACUCAGUGAAAUUGAACUCGCUGUGAAGAUGCAGUGUACCCGCGGCAAGACGGAAAGACCCCGUGAACCUUUACUAUAGCUUGACACUGAACAUUGAGCCUUGAUGUGUAGGAUAGGUGGGAGGCUUUGAAGUGUGGACGCCAGUCUGCAUGGAGCCGACCUUGAAAUACCACCCUUUAAUGUUUGAUGUUCUAACGUUGACCCGUAAUCCGGGUUGCGGACAGUGUCUGGUGGGUAGUUUGACUGGGGCGGUCUCCUCCUAAAGAGUAACGGAGGAGCACGAAGGUUGGCUAAUCCUGGUCGGACAUCAGGAGGUUAGUGCAAUGGCAUAAGCCAGCUUGACUGCGAGCGUGACGGCGCGAGCAGGUGCGAAAGCAGGUCAUAGUGAUCCGGUGGUUCUGAAUGGAAGGGCCAUCGCUCAACGGAUAAAAGGUACUCCGGGGAUAACAGGCUGAUACCGCCCAAGAGUUCAUAUCGACGGCGGUGUUUGGCACCUCGAUGUCGGCUCAUCACAUCCUGGGGCUGAAGUAGGUCCCAAGGGUAUGGCUGUUCGCCAUUUAAAGUGGUACGCGAGCUGGGUUUAGAACGUCGUGAGACAGUUCGGUCCCUAUCUGCCGUGGGCGCUGGAGAACUGAGGGGGGCUGCUCCUAGUACGAGAGGACCGGAGUGGACGCAUCACUGGUGUUCGGGUUGUCAUGCCAAUGGCACUGCCCGGUAGCUAAAUGCGGAAGAGAUAAGUGCUGAAAGCAUCUAAGCACGAAACUUGCCCCGAGAUGAGUUCUCCCUGACUCCUUGAGAGUCCUGAAGGAACGUUGAAGACGACGACGUUGAUAGGCCGGGUGUGUAAGCGCAGCGAUGCGUUGAGCUAACCGGUACUAAUGAACCGUGAGGCUUAACCUUACAACGCCGAAGGUGUUU